GCAAUGACUCCUCCUCCUCCUCGAUCCGUCCGAUUCAUCUCCGACUGCUUCGUCAAACCUCCCCAACUUCCUGAUGGCUGGAACCGUCCUCUCCACUUGCCGCCGUGGGACCUCGCCAUGCUCUCCGUCCACUACAUCCAAAAGGGCCUCCUGUUCCCCCUCCCUCCUCGCUGCCUCGACCCUGGCUUCGACCGCCCCGCUUUCAUCCGUUCCUUCUUGGAGAAGCUCAAGCGCUCUCUCUCUUCCGCCCUCUUCCACUUCUACCCGCUCGCCGGCCGCCUCGCCACCCUCAAGCGGACCGACCCCCCGUUCUACACCGUCUUCGUUGACUGCGCCAACAGCCCUGGGGCCCGGUUCAUCCAUGCCGCGCUCGAUGACCGUGGCCGACAUACUCUCCCCGACCUACGUCCCAGAUGUCGUCCAGUCCUUCUUCGACCACGACCGGGCGAUCAACCACGAUGGCCAUACCCUGUCCCUGCUGUCCGUGCAGGUCACCGAGCUUGCCGAUGGUGUCUUCAUCGGGCUCUCCAUGAACCACACCAUCGGCGACGGCACCUCCUUCUGGCUCUUCUUCAACUCGUGGUCCAAGAUCUUCCAAGCGCAAGAAAAAGGCGCCGUUGAUGUUGUUCCGCUAUCGCGUCCCCCGGCCCUGACCAGGUGGUUCCCGGAAAACCAUCCCGGCCCUUUAAGCCUGCCUUACACAGAUGAUCCCUCGUCGUUACUCGCCCGCUUUGAAGCUCCCGAGCUCAGGGAACGAGUCUUCCAUUUCUCAGCUGACGCUAUCGCGGGGCUCAAGGCGGAGGCAAACCGGCAAUGCGGCACCACCAGUAUCUCAUCCUUCCAGUCCCUGACUGCCCUUGUAUGGCGGUGCAUCGCGCGCGCCCGCCGCUUCCCGCCCAGCCAGGUCACAGGUUGCCGGAUGGCUGCGAACAACCGGGCAAGGCUUGACCCUCCUCUCUCGCCGGAGUACUUCGGAAACUCAAUCACACCAGUGAGGACGGCGGCUAAGGUGGGGGAGCUGCUGGGCAGCGGUCUUGGGUGGGCGGCGCGACUGCUGCAUACGGCGGUGGCGGAGCACAGCAGCGCAAAGCUGAGGGAGUGGAACGAGGAUUGGAUAAAGAGGCCACAGGUGUACCACCUGGACAAGACGUUCGAUCAGUACAGCAUCAUGAUGGGGAGCUCGCCACGGUUCGACAAGUACGGCAACGAGUUCGGGCUGGGGAAGGCCGUGGCUCUGCGAAGUGGGUAUGCGAACAAGUUCGACGGCAAGGUCUCAGCCUAUCCGGGCCACGAAGGAGGCGGAAGCAUCGACCUCGAGAUCUGCCUUCCGCCGACGACGAUGGCACUCCUCGAAGCUGACCCGGAAUUCAUGGCCGCCGUGACGGAUUCGUAGGUGGGAGGGCCAAAGUCAACACGGCCGUCAUGCGCAAGUCGAGUCAACACGCGUUAGGAGGAAUAAAGAUUUGUUAUUUGACUACGAAUUUUAAGUUGACUCAUCUCUUAACGUAAUACCCAAUAAAUUAUGAGUUUACAUUCUAUGUACGCUUGGUCCGGGAAAAUUUCAAGUAAGAGCUGAAGUGUGGCCCUUUUCUUAUGCCGCUUUUCAAGUUACUGGCAUUUUAUCCAAAGUUGUCUUUUACUUGCUUUCUCCUCCCUUUUUUUUUCUCGGUUCUUCUUCUUCCCUCUUGCUCCAGUUGACUCUCCCAUUCAUCUUUUCUUAUUCGAAGGCAGUCAUUUCUUCAUCAAUCGCUCGAGUUUGCCGGUGAUCGACGACGACGGUUUGGCAUGGACUGAGCGUGUGUGAUUUCCCAAAGAAGAGCAAGUCUCGUAUGAAAAGGUCUGAAGCUUUAAGACAGUGGGCUCACUUGAGCCAAGAGCUGCGUUCUCUCCAUGCCACUGACGAGGACCAAAGAUGGAUUCCGCCCAGAUAAAAAGAAAACAUAAAACACAAGUUUUUCCUCAGAAGAUAAAACACUGAUCUUUGAACAUAUUGGGUCACGGCCAGAGUAAAGAACUUCAAUGAAGGGCUGCUUUAUUAGUGUUGGGUUCUUCAGAUUAUGCUGAUGCUUCCGCUGGAGUCCUAGGAUAGAUAAAUCCAUGUGGUGAGAAGAGGUGCCCCUUGGCCGGACCCCGUUCUGCUCACCCGCGGCGAUGAAAACUUCCCUAUUACAAAUUCAAUCGAAUCAUGCGCGUAUCCCUAUCGAUUCUUUGGUCACGCUAUGGAUUGAGCGUGAAACCAAAAAUAUGUAGAGUCUAAAAGUGAGGUGACCGGCCUUUCGUAAGAGAUUGAAGGCUUGUUUGGUAACACGCUCGGAAAUAACUGAUUUUGUUCUUUUGUUUUCGGGGAGAAGAAAAGAACAGAAAUCUGUUUGGUAAAUUUCUUGUUCCUCAAAAUAAAAAUCCAUUUUUUUGUUCUUCAGAAUAGAUUUGGAAUAAAAUCAAUAUAUAGAAAAAAAUUGGUUUUUAUUCCCAAGAAUAAUUCUUAGAAUCAAGUCUAAUUUUUUAUUUUCUCUUCUAUUUCCUUGUCUUUUCUCCUAGCCACAGUGAAGCAAACCUCGCGUGGCUUGGGUGAGCUGGAGCCUCAUGGUGGCCAAGUGAGCCUCCAGCAAGCUCAUUGGCCCUCACUCGAUGGCCAGCGACCGGCCCAUAAAGAAGAAGGAAGAAGAAGAGAAAAAGAAAAAGAAAAAAAGAGAAAAAUAUGAUAAAAGUAUUAAAAAAUUAAAAGAAAUAAAAAAUUAAACCCACUUCUACCCGCUCGCCGGCCGCCUCGCCACCCUCAAGCAGAUCGACCCCCCCCUCCACACUGUCUUCGUCGACUGCGCCGACAGCCCUGGUGCCCGCUUCAUCCACGCUGCGCUCCUUGACAUGACCGUUGUUGGUAAAAUAUGGCUUCGUAUUCGGUAGAACAAUGAAGUCAGAUCGUUAGAGUACUUAAGUCGGACUUUGAGGCGUGAUAUCACUUUCUUUAAGGAUUUAUUUGCCCCACAACGUUGCUAAUGGUUACCGGCAAAUUUCUUAUCUUUGUCUUUCGAAUAGAGGCAACUCUUCAAAAUGUUGCAAAAAGAAUAAAGACAACCUUUCGGGAUAGGUUGUAAAAUGAACAAGCACGUCUCAAAUGUUACGUUGAAAAGACAUAAAAAUUCGGAAUUAAAUAAAUAAUAAAUAAUAAAUAAUCGUAACUUUUCAUGAAUAGUCGCAUUGUUUCAAUAAGACUUUAUAAUUAAUUUUUUAAAGAAAUAAAUCCGAAUUUUCAAUAAAUAAAAAUAAUGAUCGUUGGUUAGUGCCAAAUCUCGUCCACGUGCGCACUCACAUCUUUUUGAUGUGGGACAAGGCACUUCUUCAUUUGUUUUAUAAACAAAUUACCAACAAUCCCCCACUUUUGUUUAUAAAACAAAAACAAGAAAUAAAAUGUUAGAAAUAUACAGCCAAAAUUUCCGUGAGAUUAAUAUACAUACAUAAAGGUCUCUCGAGUUAAACCUUUACUUAGUAUAAGUAUCUCAAAGCCCUAUCAAAGUGACAAGUAGCUCGGCUUUAAACUUGUACUUUUAUAUAAUAGAACCAGACAUACCACACAUACACUAACCUCUUGUUUCAACGAGAAGUUCUAUAUUACUCCGCACUAUUAUGGCCUUGUGCUUGAUCCUGUUUCAUGAGCUCUCUAGAAAGCAACCCUAACUUUCGUAAGAAGCGGCACCACUUCUAAGCUCAUAUAGGUGAAGUAUCUACUAUGUGUUUCUGUUACUAUCAACACAUUAUAAGUUUGUACUAUACUUCAUUAAGAAUUCAAUCCAACCUACAAAACGUAACAGACUAUACUGACUUCUCAUAUCAGGGCUACGUCAAUAUCAAACAAUCACAUUCAAUAACUUGUUCUUACCCAUUAAACCUUAUAACUAGUGAUGUUCUAGAAAAAUGUCGGGUUACCAUUAUUGGUGAUUUCAAUUAAAUGGUUUCAGCCUCGUUUCUUAUGAGGUCAUUAUUACCAUAUCUCUUGGUAAAGCCUUUGUCAAGGGAUCGGCAAGACUAUUACUUGACCUCACGUAGACAAUUGUUAUGGUACCAUCUUUAAUCAAUUGUCUCACAUAUUCAUGUCUUUAAACUAGUAUGUCUAGACUUACUAUUAUAUGUGCUACUAUAUGCUCUUACCAAAGUAGCCUAACUAUCACAGUUGAUAGAGAAAUAAGAGGCAUAGGACUAGGCCAUAAUUUGAUAUUCAACAACAAAUUCCUAAUCCAUCAAUAUCUUUCCCACUUGCUACUAAGCAAUGAUUCAAGUUUCAUAGUUGAGUGAAUUAUGCACAUUUGUUUCUUGCUCGCCUAAGAAACAACACAUUCACGUAAUGUGAAAAUCCAUCUAGAAGUUUCAUCUCCCAUACUUGUAAUCCAACUAGUAUCGGUGUAUCUUUAUAAUAUAACCAAAUAAUUAUUAUAGAACAAUCACAAAUUUUAGGUUCUUUUAAAAUAACCAAAAAAUUCUAAUAAUAGCCUUUCAAUGUUCUAUAAUUGGAUUACUAGUAUAUCUACUCAACUUGCAUAUAUAAAAAGUAAUAUCAGAUCUAGUAUAAUGUAUCGCAUACAUUAAAGACCCAUAGCACUCACAUUAAAAACUCUCCACUAGUAAUCAAAUGGAGUACUUAUAUAUUUGAAAACAAGAUGUUUAAAUCUAUUCAACAUCCUUUCCAUGUAAUCACUUUGGCUCAAAGGAUAACCCCCACUAUUUUUUUUUAAUUUUAACACCCAAUAAGGUAUCUACUUCACUCAAAUCUUUCAUUUAAAAUGAAAGUUAGAUAUUUUUUUUUUUUAAUGACUCCAAUCACAUUCGCUCCAUAGUCCCCUUCAAAUAUCCCCACUUCAAGACUAUUUUAAGAGGCAUCCAAUAUGAUAACGUAUGUUUCAUCAUCAUAUCCAAUUAAUAAUAAACCAAGUACAGAAAUCCAUACAAGGAUGGGAAAUAAGUAAAUAGAUAAAUUCUAGCAAUUUAUACACCAUCCCUAACAAUCAAAAGCAUGUGAGAACAGAAGCAUACAACAAAUAAUUUUUCAAUAGCUUCGCCAAGACAAACCGACGGUAGAACGAAAGAUUGCCCCAUUAUUACGAUGGUUCAUCAUUUCAAUAAGAUCUUUCGAUUGUGUGUAUCCAAAUUCGUCAACAGAAAAACCAAAAGAAAUGUUUACGAAUUUUAGAUCACUAAGAGAACAGUCAAUCGAAUUCUCCAAUUUCUCAUUCUCAGAAAGAUCAAACAAUAGUUAAAAAAGAGAAAAUUUUCCAUAAUGGGUCAACAACACCAAUGCACGGAAUGUGAUAUGAUUCAUUUCUCAAUCAAAUAAUUUCCUCGCUCAAACUAGGAACUUAGAUAGAGAAUCACCAACCAACUUGCAGCGACCACGAUAGAGAUGAAUGACACAGCCGACCAGACAUGCAUCGGCUUCUUGUCCUCGAGAAGUACUCACUUAGAGCUCCAAUCUCGUAAACGUCCUUACGCACGGCCCCUAGAGCCUGCCCAUGACGUACGAGUCCCUCCCGAAGUACUUGGGGAGGAAGGAGUUCUCGUUGCCAAGAGUUUGCCACACGAUGUCCCCACAACCCUUGGCCAACUUCACGCUCAUCUCUGCCGCUCCUUUCAUGAAUUCCUUCGCAUGGUCCACCACAUUCCUGAUCUCUCCGACACUGCCGUCUCCAAAUUCAAUCAUUUUUUUAAUAACUAAAACAAUAUCCCCAUGAGUUCACAUAUUUUGCAGCCAUUUAGACAAAUCUAGAAUGUGACUCCUCGAGGCGGUAAAAAUAAAAAAUCAAAAUUGGGCCAUACCUGCGAAAGUACCUUCUACUUGAUAUGGAUCCAAAAUGUCAAUCCGCGAAAGAGAUUAAAAGGCAUCUUCAAAAAAUAAAAAAAAAUGAAUCCAUCAUGUAACUGCCCCUUGACGAGACCGAGUUAUUGAAGUGUGCAGGGACCCGGACAACACAUUCUUGAUAGUCAUAUCAAGGUAAGCCGCAGGGUCUCACGCAUCUUUGUGAGGAGGGUGGAUGAAAUUUCCUCCACAGCAAACUGCUUCUUUACGACCUUGAAAUUGACGACAAUCAUGGGCUUGAGGCCGGGACCAGCAAUGACCCUUGACGGCCAAUGCCUCAUGUUACUCUGGACUGAAGGAUCGCUAAAUCUCCUCCCGAACAAAGAUCUUGCACUCGAUCUCAUGAUCAGAGUCUCGACAUCCUCGAAGUCGUUUUUAUAAGAUGAGAUGCCAUCUUGCAUGAUAUUUCCAUGAUGGAUUUCGCAUCGUGAGCAAGAGCCUCAUUCAUCACCUUUUGCUCCGGGAAAUUAACGCUGUAAUUCAAUAUUCCACCAUUCUUGUCUUCUCCAUCACAAUAGAUGCCGUCAAGAUUAGUAAGUGUUGAGUCCCAAACCAAACAUCAAAUACAGAGACAAGACAUGGCAUAGCAUUGGGCGCACACAAAAGACAUAAAACACACCCUUAUGACAGAACCAAAAUGGACACAAAAAAUAAAAAUAGCGAGAGAGAGAGAGCCUGUAGAUCUUCCUUGAAACUCUGGCCAACGGUGAUGAGUGAUGAUUGUUGGCGUCGACUAGAAGCCAUCGAGGAACAGACCUGUUGGGAAGUGAAAGAACCUGUCCACUUGCAUGCGUCUGGUGCUCGCAUCGCGCAAUGGCGAACGUGGCCUCUUGCAUCUUUAUCCACGGUCAAACGUUGCCUCGAGAUUUACGGCCACCCGUUGCCUCGAGAUUUACUAAUCGGCAUUGGCAAGGGACUCGUUUCAACUGCUUCCUCAAGACAACGUUCCACGACAUGGACGCCAAAUAUGGACGCUUGUCUUCUGCUAGGCGAAUUUUUUAUUUUUUAUUUUAUUUUGAUGAUCUGGGCCCCCGCAAGAUAUGGAACUUGUAACGUCAAUUAUAGCCGUUUGGUAGUUUCCCUUCUCUCUUCUAAUCAAACACAUAGCGUUCCGGGCAGGAAUCCCAGACAAAUUCUGCAUGGCGAGCAUGUAAAUCACAGACUGCGACUCGGGUUCCCUCAUAGCAAAGAUGAAGUGCUUCGUAUGUUCGGGAACCGGAAGUUUAAGGACCAACUCAUUUGAAACUUUCAGGUCAUCGGAUUACGGCUUGGAGAAGGGCCGUAGAGUACGUAAACUCCAAAGGAAAGAACAUGCCUUCAGGACCACAUUGACUCCCUUCCACUUCUAUCUAAAACUUAAGAAAAUUCGUGAAGUUCAUCCUCCCAAUUUCUUGCAUGGUUCACUCACAAGCCCAAAACAGAACUUCCUCGAAAGGAUUCAGGGAAUAUAUUCAGAGCAAAACUAAGAACAACAAUCAACGUAGUCUUGGAAUGAGAAUAGAAAUGAUAAGGGAUCGGAACAUAAGAAACAUCAAAUGAUCAGCGCACACCGCAUUGCAUCAAAUCACACAAGUAAAAUUGUUGCCAUCAAACCAGUUUAGUAUCACCAUGUCUUGAGUAAUGACUUUGAUUCUCUGACUUCAUUGUAGCAAAAAUAAAUCCUUAAAAUUGUUGGUAAAAUAUGGCUUCGUAUUGGGUAGAACAAUGAAGUCAGAUCGUUAGAGUACUUAAGUCGGACUUUGAGGCGUGAUAUCACUUUUUUUAAGGAUUUAUUUGCCCCACAACGUUGCUAAUGGUCACCGGCAAAUUUCUUAUAUUUGUCUUUCGAAUAGAGGCAACUCUUCAAAAUGUUGCAAAAAGAAUAAAGACAACCUUUCGGGAUAGGUUGUAAAAUGAACAAGCACGUCUCAAAUGUUACGUUGAAAAGACAAAAAAAUUCGGAAUUAAAUAAAUAAUAAAUAAUAAAUAAUCGUAACUUUUCAUGAAUAGUCGCAUUGUUUCAAUAAGACUUUAUAAUUAAUUUUUUAAAGAAAUAAAUCCGAAUUUUCAAUAAAUAAAAAUAAUGAUCGUUGGUUAGUGCCAAAUGUCGUCCACGUGGGCACUCACAUCUUUUUGAUGUGGGACAAGGCACUUCUUCAUUUGUUUUAUAAACAAAUUACCAACAACCGUGGCCGACAUCCUCUCCCCGACGUACGUCCCGUCCAUCGUCCAUUCCUUCUUCGACCACAACUGGGCGGUCAACCACGACGGCCACUCCCUGUCCCUGCUGUCCGCUCAGGUCACCGAGCUCGCUGACGGCGUCUUCAUCGGGCUCUCCAUGAACCACUCUAUCGGCGACGGCACCUCCUUCUGGCUCUUUUUCAACUCGUGGUCCGAGAUCUUCCAAGCGCAACAGAAAGGCGACGUCGAUGUCGUCCAGCUAUCGCGUCCCCCAGUCCUGACCCGCUGGUUCCCUGAGAACCACCCCGGCCCGGUAAGCCUGCCUUCCGCGGACGACCCCUCGUCGUUCCACCCCCGCUACCGAGUCCCGGAUCUCAGGGAGCGAGUCUUUCACUUCUCCGCCGACGCCAUCGCGAGUCUCAAGGCGGAGGCGAACCGGCAAUGCGGCACCCCCAAGAUCUCGUCCUUCCAGUCCCUGACUGCCCUGCUAUGGCGGUGCAUCACGCGCGCUCGCUGCCUGCCGCCCAGCCAGGUCACAAGCUGCCGGGUGAUCUCGAACAAUCGGGCGAGGCUAGACCCCCCUCUCCCGCCGGAAUACUUCGGGAACCCGGUCACGAUGUUGAGGGCGGCGACGACGGCGGGGGAGCUGCUAGGCGGCGGCCUUGGGUGGGCGGCGCUGCUGCUGCAUGCGUUGGUGGCGGAGCACGGGAACGCGAAGGUGCUCGAGUGGAACGAGGAGUGGAUAAAGAGCCCGCAGGUGUACCGCCUGGAUCGGACGUUGGGUCCGUGCAGCAUCAUCAUGUCGAGCUCGCCGCGGUUCAACAUGUAUGGCAACGACUUCGGGCUGGGGAUCCUGGGGAAGGCCGCGGCUCCGCGAAGUGGGUGUGCCAACAAGACCGACGGCAAGGUCACAAGCUAUCCGGGCCGCGAGGGAGGCGGAAGCAUCGACCUCGAGAUCUGCCUUUCGCCGGCCACGAUGGCGUCUCUCGAAGCUGACGCUGAAUUCAUGGCUGCCGUGACGGAUUUGUAGGUCGGAGGAACAACACAGCACGGUGGUUAUGUGCCGGUCGAGUCGACAGCCAUUAGUUAUCAGGAUGAAAAAUUACGGGUUGUGUGACUUGUAAUUUUAUAUUAAGUUGAUUUAUUUCUCAAUCUGUAGUGGAUAAAUUAUGGGUUUUUCUCUUUUAUUUUAUGCUUUGUGUUUGAAUUGAUCCUCAGCCAAAUCUUAUUAUUGGUUAGAAACCGUAGAGUAAAACAUCAUGAUAACUUGUAUGGUGGGCCAAUCUAAUAUUAAAAAAAUUCCGAAGUCGAAAUAUCGGGUAUAGAGUAUCGAAAUUGAAAGAUUCUAUCGCAUUUUUGCUUGCUACUGUAAUACCGAAAGAUACACACACGGCUUUCUAUUUAAAUUAUUUUAUUACAAAAAUGUACUUUCCAAUUCCAUAAAAAAAACACACACACACACCUUUUAAGUCUUCUUGCAAAUUAUAUCGGUUAUAAACCGUAAAGUCUUUUUUAAAUCUUAAAUUCUCAAGUAUUCUCUUCUUUUCUUUAGAAAUAAACUUUCAUAAAGUCUAAUUUAAAAAAGGAUUAAUUCUCAAUGUCUCCUUAUCAGGGAAGGAACUUGCCCAUGCAAAUGAAAGUUAGGUUUUGAUGAAUCCACUUGGGUUCUUCAUUCAUGCGAAGCUUUAUGAGUGGAAGCGAUUGAUCGAAUAAAACAGACAAAAGGUGGACAACAAUAGAUGCCAAAUUUAUAUGAUUCGGUCAAUGUAACCUAUAUCCACAAGAAGAGUAGCACAACUAUAAAACAAGCAAAUCAAUGAAGAUUAUAAUUACGCUCAAGCACUUAAAUGCUCCUAGUGUUUUCUAAUCUCCAAUCACAUCCGAUAUCUCACGUGAUGUUUUACUCUCAUAAUUUUUUACGAAAUAAUGUCUCGAUCUCACAAAGAAAUUAUAUAAAAUUCUUACCACAAGAAUUUAAUCAGCUUCAAACACUCAUACUCUAAUCGGAUGCAGAACAAAAACUCAAGAGAUGUCCGUUUAUUAGUUAUGUUUUAUUUGGUAAUGUACCAAACAGUACCUUAUCCUAUUAUUUUGUUUUUCGGAAAAAAAAUAUAAAUCUAUUUCGUAACUUUUUUGUUUCUUAGAAUAAAGUUAUUCAUGGAACAGAAUUAAGAAGUAAAAAAAAGUUUCUUUGUUUCUUGGAAUAAUUCUUAGAAUCAAGUAACUUUUUUUUUUUUGUUUUUCUUCUUCUUCGGCGAGGCUCAGCCUUGAUGGGGCCGACAGCCGAUAGAUGAAGGAGAAGAAGAAAAGAAAAGAAAGGUAAUAAAUUCAUUAAAUAAUUAAAAGAAAAUAUCUGGACUAAAAAUUUUGGGAUUAAUGCCAAAUGCAUUUCUAUCUAGAGAAUAGAAAUUUUAAGAAUAGUAUCAAAUGCAUUUCUAUUCUCAAAAUUUAUCUAGGAAUAGAAUAAAAAAAAAAAAAAUCCAUUUCUGUCGUCCUUACCCGUCCUUGUCCAGCUUUACCAUUGCAACUUGAAGGAAAUAAAGAUACCAAACUAAAAGCUCUGUGGGUGUCGCAUGCCGCCAAAACAGUAAGUUCCAUGGUCCAGAAUUCCGGCUUGUAGCUUGAAAGAGACCGAACGGGAUAAGGCAAAACUACUGUUUGGGAAAAAGACGCAGACAUAAACGACCCCUUCAACAGUGAAACAUCACUUAAAGGACCGGCAAAGGGUUCACGUGUGGUCUUCAAGGGGGAAUUUCCCUUUUCUUUCUUCACAGAGUUGGUCAAAAAGAAAUUAUGACCAUCGUGGGUGUAACUUCUUCCAUCACCUGCCACCCUACGGAAAGUGUUCAUACGCUGCGGGUUUCUAUCCCGGUAAUAAAAAUUUUAAAGAUAAUUCCAAACGUAUUUUUAUGUUUAGAAAUUUAUCUUGAGAAUACAAUUAGAAAAAUUGUAUUUUUAUUUUUAAUAAUAGAAUAAUUAUUAAACACAUCUUUAUUUUUCAAGUCCUAUUUCCAACUUCUCCGUAUAUAUACUUUUCAUAUUAGCUUUACUUGUGCAAGUUGAAGGAAAGGAAAUAAAAUACUAAACUAAAAGCUCUCUUUCAGCAUCAAAUGCCACCAAACAGUUAGUUUCAAGGUCCACAAUUCCGACCUGUAGCUUGAAAGAAAACAAAAGAGAUAAAAGGAAAAAACCACUAAAAAUCUAAAAUUCGGUCAAAAGUGACAAAUUUACCAAUUUUUUUUUUUGUAACACGAAAAACUUCAAAUUUUACAAACCGUGAUACAUUUAUCCUACUAAAGGCAUUUUCGUCUUAUCCUUUAUGUUUUUCCUUUUUCUUUUUCCUCUCUCUUCCCUCCUCUGGCCAUGGCGGAGGGAAGUCAGAGUUUGGUGAGGGCCGCCCUCGCCGACGUUGGGCAAGGGUCACCUUCGGUUGGGUCAAGCAAGGGCGGUCCUCGCCUGAGUCUGGUGAUGGGUGCCCUCGCUAAGCCCUCGCCGGCGUCAAGUGAUGGGUGCCCUCGCCGACGUCGAGUGGCCCUAACUAGCCCAGGCGAGGGCAGCCCUCGCCAGACUUCGGUUUCCCUCCGCUGACUCCAUCAUGGUCGGCGGAGGGAAGAGAGAAAAUUUUUUUUUAAAAAAAAAGUAAAAUAUCAAAAUGCCCUAUAACUUAGGAUAAAUGUGUCACACAGAUAUAAGUUCGAGAUUUCUUAUAUCACGAAAAAAGUUUGUAAUAGAUAUGUCAUAAUUGGUAAAAUUUAAGAUUUUUCGUAUUACAAAAAAAUUUUGAGAUAAAUUUAUUUUUUAAAUAAAAUUUGGGAUUUUUGAUGAUCUUUUAUCAUGAUAAAGCAAGCCUACGGUUUGGGAAAAAGAUGCAGGCAUAACAGUCCUUUCAACAGCGAAACGUUCACGUGGUCUUCAAGAGAAAAUUUCCCUUGCCUUUCUUCACAGAGUUGAUCAAAAAGAAAUUAUGACCAUCUUGGGUGUAACUUCAUCUAUCAUAUGCCACGCUGAGGAAAGUGUCCGUAUGCUACGGACCUACAUCCUUCGAUUCAGUACGUGUUUCGUAUGCAGGCUCAAAUUCAAGACAUAGUUUAAUAAAAGACGACCGGAAGUAAGUGUUAGCGAAACAAAAUCAGCAGCCAAUUAGUUGAGAGUGAAUGUAGAUAUUGUUGUUUUGCAAGACAGGUCAUCAUUGAAAUUGUUCAUUGCUUACCUGUUAUGUUUUCAUGUACCGAAUGCUUCCAAGAAGAAGCAUGUAUUCCACCUGGUCGUAAUUUGCAAAGAAGUACCAAUGCCUGGUUCAUGGAAGCAUGUUUUCUGUUUCUUAUGGCAUGGGCGAUAUGGCUUUGCGGAAGCCCUUAGUUGCGCAACCCAUGCCCCACCAAGCCCUGUAAAUUCUUAACACCUGAAGAGCAGAGAACAGUAAGGCGAAUUAGUUUGCAGUGAAAAGGUUUAUCAUCCUUCGGAACUUUAGUCUGAAGUUGCAACCUCUGUUUUCCUCGAUCUAUCAUUCAGAUGCUGGGUGAAAGUUUAUGCUCACUGGUGGAUCAGUCAGAGCAUGAUAAUGCAGCUUGUUACAAAGUCCACGGUAUGUGGAAUUUGACUGUGGGCGGUGGAUGCACAUGAUAUGAUGAAAUUAAAUUAAAUAUCGUGUUAAAAAGUCCAAUUCAAAAGUUUAAGUAGACAGACAAAACCAUGUGAAUAUAAAUAGUAUAUAAGGCUCAUUGUCAAGCAUGCGAGACGACGUUUCAACUUGAUUAGAGUGACUAGCAUGGUUCUGUAUAGAACAUGGCCGCUUGCAUAAGUGCAAAGUAAUGGGAUGAAAUUGGCGUGUAGGGUUUUGAGAAAAGGGCUUCUGUCUAUCGAAGUUAGAAGUAGAUUUUUCAGGGCGAUCUUCCCAGGGUGAAUGGAGAAAGUGCUAUUUUUCCUUUGGCGAAACAAGUCCUCUCUCUCUCUCUCUAUAGAGUAUCUACUUUCACGUGUAUUGAGGUUUUAUUCGGUCAGUCACAAGAAUGAGUUUCGAGCCUAUGACUUCGCCUACGCUGUCUGAUUUCGAAGUGUUAUUGUCUAUAUACUUUGUUAAAUUAAUGUCUUGAGUUUAAAUUUGGAAACCGAAUUUGUCAAUAAUUUUUUUUUCAAACAGAUUAUAAAUUGGAUGAAUAAGAAAUUUCUUUCUUGGAUUUCCUACUUCAAAACCGGCGAAACAAGAACUUGGGCACACUUUAUAUAUAUUAAAGAAAAACAUAAAAGGAAAGAAGUGUUUUUCACUUUUACGUGAAAGAGAGAAAGAGGUGGGCUCAGGUCACACUUUGACCUGGGCACACGUACUUUAGGGGUGUGCAACGGAAACCACCCAAAUCGGGACCGGACCGGACCGGACCGGACCGGCCGGUUUUGGGCGGUUCCCACGGUCGGCAGUCCGGUUCCCGGUUCCAAGGUGGGAACCGGACCAACCGGACCGACCGGACCGGACUAAAUUUUUUAUAUAUAAUUUAUAUACAUAUAAUAUAUAAACACAUAUAAUAUAUGAAUAUUAUAUAUGAAACUUGAUGCAAUCGGAAUUGCAAUUAAGGUAACAAUCUCUUAUGUGGCCAAGAGACCGCCAAAGCUCUUAGAAAACUUAUUUGUUAGUUUUAUCUUCUACUCGAUAUGGGAUAAGGCUCUAGGAGUUCCUCAUGCUCACUUUCUCUCUUGCUCCUCUCACUUGCAAAUGACAAGGCACUUCAAGCCUCAAAGAAUCUGACAUCGACUAAACAUUCAAAGCAUAGAAGAGAGAUUAUGUAUAAAACCUAAGCCAAGCACAAAUUUUACUCAAAUUGUUCAUGGCUUUUAUGCUUAAUAUUAAGAGUGAAACACAUGAAUUAUGAUUAAUAUUCACGCAAGUGAAGUUUGAAUAUUUUGCACGUGAAAACACGUGUGAGUAGUUUUAUUAAAUCGCCCGGGAGCCGAAUUGGAUCGAUUGGUCUGAAGCAUGGUCGUUCUUUAAUGAAUGGUCGUUAUUUAGUGAAAAAAGAAAGUGUUGAUCCUAUUGGACCGAACCGGACCGGACCGGAACCGAUGGUCCGGUCCACGGUUCCCAAAAUUGGGAACCGGUUUUCCCGGUCCGGUUCUCGGUUCCACCUUGGAACCGGACCGAACCGGGAACCGAUCACCCCUAAUUUUCUUUCCGUAAAGAGCACCCCGAAGACCUACGAAGAAAGGAGCUGCACGUUUCGCACGCCGCCAAGAGAGAAAGCUAAGCUGGAGAUUUUUUCUUUUCUUUUGGUGUAAGACUUGAACGCAGUAAUUUUAUGCCGUGAGUUUAUACCAAAGUGAGUUAUUUAUUUAUAAACACUUUGGGUUUGAGAUUAAAUCUAUGUGUGGGAAAUACUUGAGCGAUUGAGCGAUUUGUAAACUCUGAUUCUUCGAUUUUAGUAGAUUAUUUGCUGCUGACUCUUACCGUGGAUAUAGGUAUCGAUACUCGGACCGAAUCACAUAAAUUUCUGGUGUCCUUAUUUUUCUCGUUUAUUUUUCUAAUGAUUUCGCGUUGACGUAAAUUGUAAAAUCCUGUCAUUUCCGCGUUCAGAGCUUGGGGUUUGAUUUCUUGAUUGUGAUUUGGAGCUUUUGUUUGUCUGAUUAUUUUCUGGAAAUUUUGUUAUUGCAAUUAUAUCUGAGAAGAAAUCUAAAAUUGAGAAGUUUGACGGGAGUAACAAUUUUGUGUUAUGGAGCAUAAAGAUGUGAGCUUUAUUAACAACACAAGGUUUGAUCAAUGCACUGAUUGGUGAAGAUGAGUUGCUGAUUAUAAUGAAAGCCUCUGAGAGGGUAGAGUUGAUGGAAAAAGCAAAAAAGCAUAAUCCUGUUAAAUUUGAUGGAUGAGGUCUUAAUAGAGGUUGCUGAGGAGAAGGAUGUCGCAGCGUUAUGAGCAAAACUUCAAGCACUCUAUGUAAAGAAAUGUUUGAACAAUCGCUUGUACAUGCUGAAAAAGAUGUUUCAAUUUAGAUAUAUUGAAGGUACGUCUAUCAGAACCUACCUAGAUGAAUUUAAUAAACUCAUGUUGGAUCUGAAGAACGUUGGUAAGAUACUCGAUGAUGAAGAACAGGGCAUGAUGUUGUUAGCUUCUUUACCAGAGUCAUGUGAGCACUUUACUGAUUUGCUGUUGCAAGAGCGUACUACUAUUACCUCAAAAGAGGUAAAGUCCGCCUUAUUUUCUAAGGAAUGGCAAAGAAAGUUGCGAGAUGAUGGUCUGGCGAAAGGAGCAGCGCAAGAACUGACGAUUCGGGGUAGAGAACAACAUCGAGAGCCUAGUAGCAACAGAGGUAAAAGCAGAUCAAAAUCACGCCAUAGAAAGUCCAAAGGACGCGUGAAGUGCUUUGAAUGUCACGAGGAGGGGCACAUUGUCCAAAGCGGAGAAAUAAAGUUGAUAAGCAGAAUGCUAAACGUUGUUUAGGGGAGCACUAGUGAUGCAGAAGUUGUCUUAUGUGUGACUGCUACUUCGUUAAGAGACGAAUGGAUACUGGAUUCGGGGGUGUUCUUAUCAUUUGAUACCUCAUAAGAACUGGUUUACUACUUACCAGACUGCAGAUGGUGGUAAAGUUCUUUUAGGGAAUAAUGCAGUUUGUAAGGCUGUGGGGAUAGGAACAAUUCGGAUUUGGAUGCACGAUGGGGUGGUGCGCACAGUAACAGAUGUAAGGUAUGUACUGGAACUCAAGAAGAACCUUAUUUCUCUGGGGACACUUGAUGACAUCGGGUGUUGGUACACCGCUGAAGGUGGAGUAAUGAAGAUCUCUCGAAGUGCUAUGAUAGUGAUGAAGGGAAAGAAAGUGAAUACUCUCUAUCAUCUACUAGAAGAGACCGUGACCGGAACCACUACAGCUUCAUUAGGUGAGUCAGACUCUAACUUGACUCAAUUAUGGCAUAUGCGUUUGGGGCACAUGAGUGAAGCAUGUAUGACGAUGCUGAGUGAAAUGGGGUUGUUGAGUAGUCAGAAAACAGGAAAACUUGACUUAUGUGAACACUGCAUCUAUGGGAAGCAGCACCGAGUUAAGUUUACUAUAGCUAUUCAUUCGACCAAACGACCAGUUGAAUAUAUUCAUUUAGAUGUCUGGAGCCCGUAUUCGGUUCCUUCGAAAGGAGGUGCCCAAUAUAUGUUGACAUUUAUCGAUGAUUAUUCGAUGAAGGUAUGUGUAUACUUUCUGAAGCAUAAAUAUGAUAUGUUUGAUCAGUUCAAGAAAUUUAAAGCAUUGAUUGAGAACCAGUCGGAUAAACAAAUCAAGUGCUUGAGAACCGAUAAUGGCAUGGAGUUUUGUGGUAAAGAUUUUACUAAGUUCUGCGAGAAAGAAGGUAUUGUGAGACACCGCACAAUACUUGGGACACCACAACAGAAUGGCGUGGCAGAACGGAAGAAUAGAACUUUGCUUGAGCGAGCUCGAUGCAUGCAGGACUUGGCAAUGAAUUUUGGGCUGAAGUAGUGAACAUGUCAUGUUACCUAGUUAAUCGAUCUCCAUCAUCUGUUAUCGAGUGGAAGACUCUUGAGGAAGUAUGGUCGGGGAAACCUGUUGAUUAUUCCGGAUUACGUAUAUUCGGAUGUCCUGCGUAUGCUCAUGUGAGUGAUGGUAAGUUCGAGUCAAAGGCGAAGAAGUGCAUAUUUCUGGGUUAUGCACAUGGGGUGAAAGGCUAUCGACUAUGGUACAAUGUUCCUACAUCACCCGAUUUUCUAUUAAGCAAAGAUAUGAUCUUUGACAGGACUGCAAUAAUUCAACAAAGGAGUUCUGAGACACAGUCAACAAAGAAGACAGAUCAUGGUGUCAUUAGUUAGGUGGAGCUUCAAGUGGAGACUCCGGAGACCUUGAAGGUAACAAAAGUUGAGACUGCAGAUGAAGCUGCAGUUCCUGAAGUCGGUGAUAGUGAACAACCAGCAAAGUCACAGCACACUAUAGCCACCGAUUGACAAAGAAGACAAAUUAAAUCACCAAUACGUUAUGGUUAUAUAGAUAUUGCUUAUGCAUUGACUGUAGGUGAUGAGGUGGAGAUAGAUGAGCCUUCAUCUUUGAGGCGAUGGCUAAUUCGGAGUCAUCGCAGUGGCUAGGGGCUAUGAGUGAAGAGAUGGAAUCACUCCAUCAAAAUCAGAAAGGGAGCUGGUCAAAGUACCAAAGAGCCAAAAGAUUGUCGGAAGUAGAUGAGUCUUCAAACGAAAAGAGGGCAUUCCUAGUGUUGAGGUAGCGAUGUAUAAGGCGAGACUUGUGGCGAAGGGAUAUACACAUCAUGAGGGCAUUGACUACAAUGAGGUGUUCUCUCUUGUGGUAAGACAUACUUCUAUUCGUGUUUUACUUGCCUUAGUUGCUUCGCAGGAUCUUGAGUUAAAGCAGUUAGAUGUGAAAAUUGCGUUUCUUCAUGGUGAGUUGGAGAGCAGAUUUACGUGAGACAAUCAAAGGGAUUUGCUAUUCCGGGUAAGGAAGAUCAUGUUUGCUUGUUAAAGAAAUAUUUGUAUGGGCUGAAAUAGUCUCCUAGGCAGCGGUAUAAACGUUUUGAUACUUUCAUGGCUAGUCAAAACUAUUGAAAGAGUCAGAUGGAUAGCUGCGUUUACUAUAGGAGAUUGAAGAAUGGUUCUUUGAUUUAUCUACUCUUAUAUGUUGAUGAUAUGCUGAUAGUGGCUAAGAAUAUGUCUGAUAUUGAUGUGCUAAAGAGGCAGUUAAAUGCUGAAUUUGGAAUGAAAGAUUUAGGUGCUGCAAAAUUCUUUUUGGGUAUAGAGAUUUUGCGUGACAUGACUGCAGGAGUCUUAUGUCUAUCUCAGAAGAAAUAUAUUGAGAAGAUAGUGACACGUUUUAACAUGCAGUCAGCGAAAUUUGUAAGUACACUUUUAGCGAAAUACUUUAAACUUUUAGAUAAAUUAUCACUGCAGAUUGAGGAGGAGGAGGAGCAUAUGUCCCGUGCUCCUUAUUCUAGUGUCGUGGGUAGUAUUAUGUAUGCUAUGGUGUACACUAAUAUUUCAAAAGCUGUGAGCGUGGUUAGUCGUUAUAUGAAGCGUCCUGAUAAAACUUAUUGGGAAACUGUGAAGUGGAUCCUUAGAUAUUUGAAGGGGACAACAGACGUGGGUAUAGUAUAUUGAAAGGACAACAAUGACAAUGAGACCACUGGUUUUAUGGAUUCGAAUCACGUCGGUGACUUGGAUGAUUGCAGGUCUUUAGCAGGGUACGUAUUUACGCUAGUGGGUGGUGCAAUUAGUUGGAAAGCAUCCUUAUAGGAUCACAUUGCCUUGUCUUCGACUGAGGCUGAUUACAUGGCACUAACUUUUGUAGCGAAGGAGGCGAUAUCGUUACAAAGUUUGCUCUCGGACUUUGAAUUAGAACAGAAAAGUGUGGAUAUACACUAUGAUAAUCAAUGUGCAAUAUAUUUGGCGUAUAAUCCAGUUUAUCACGAGCAAACAAAGCAUAUCAACAUCAGGUACCACUUCAUCCAAGAUGUCUUAGCUAAGGGUAUUGUUACUGUUAAAAAGAUUACUGCAGCAGAUAACCCAUCAAACAUGAUGACUAAGUCUGCUCCUUUGGCGAAGCUUGAGCUUUGCUGGAGUUCUAUUGACGUCUAUGGAGAGUGAGCACCCGUCAGGGUGUUGGGAGAGCAGCAUGGAUGAUGAGCACUAUAACUUGACUUCAAACAUCGAGCUAAGGUGGAGAAUUGUUAAAUUAAUGUCUCGAGUUUGAAUUUGGAAACCGAAUUUGUCAAUAAAGUUUUUCCCAAACGGAUUAUAAAUCGGAUGAAGAAGAAAGAAGUAAUUUCUUUCUUGGAUUUCCUCCUUCGAACCGGCAAAACAAGAACUUGGGCACACUUUAUAUAUAUAUUAAAGAAAAAAAUAAAAGGAAAGAAGUGUCUUUCACUUUUACGUGGAAGAGAGAAAGAGGUGGGCCUAGGUCAAACUUUGACCUGGGCACAAGUAUAAAAGGUCUUAUUUUCUUUUUGGAAAGAGCAUGCCGAAGACCUAUGAAGAAAGGAGCCGCACGUCCGCUGAGCUGCGAGAAGCCGCACGCUGCCAAGAGAGAGAGCUAAGCUGGAGAUUUUUUCUUUUCUUUUGGCGUAUGACUUGAACAUGGUAAUUUUGUGCUGUUAGUUUAUAUCCAAGUGAGUUGUUUAUUUAUAAACACUUUGGGUUUUGGGUUAAAUAUAGGUGUGGGAAACACUUGAGCGAUUGAGCGAUUGUAAACUUUGAUUCUCCGAUUUUAGUGGAUUAUUUGCUGUUGGCUCUCCUCAUGGACGUAUGUACCGAUACUCAGACCGAACUACGUAAAUUUCUGGUGUCCUUAUUUUUCUCGUUUAUUUCUCUAGUGAUUUCGCGUUGACGUAAAUUGCAAAAUCCUGUCGUUUUUGCGUAUUAUAUCCCAACAUACUUCACUUGCCUGCCUUGGGGGAGGAGAAUGUGUUUUCUUAUGCCACUUUUCAUUUGCUCGUCUUCUUUGCUUCUCCUCAUCUCUCCUUGUCUCUCAACUUCAUCCGCUGCUUGAUGUGGUCGGACAUACCCGAGUACAUCUAUAUAAAAACGCCGGAUAAAAAAUCUAGGGGAGGGGUGGGAUAAACUUAGAUUAGAUAAGGAUUUUUUCAAAGAAAAAGAAGAACUGAAAAAGAGAGAAAAAGAUCGUAAGCAUCUACAUCAAAUGGAUCCAACUGAGCUUUUGACUUUGCCAGUCCGAUUCGUUGUCUGCCUUCUCCUUUUCCUGUCUCGGUUCCAAUUGGUGGAAGACGAGAUGAAAUUGUCACUACUUAUUGUCUUCUUCCUCCCUCUUCUUCUCCCAUCGCCGGUUGUUGUACGCUAGCAAUUGGGUGCCCUUUUCUUUGGAUCAUGGACUUGAUGAAUGUGAUGACCAAGACUGGCUCUUUGAUGUUUCACAUAGGCAUAUGUUCAACUAAUUGAAGCAUUGCUUGCACCACCUCAAACAUCAGCGGUUGGAACUCUGGCUCUACCUAAGCCACUUCAUUAACAUAGCGAUCAAUAUUGUGGGUGAAAAAAACAGAUUUUGCAAGGAUGCUAGAAUCCCAUGGAGGAUGUUAUACGUCUCAAGGGAAGAGGGGAAAAUGGGGAAGAAGAGGUUGCAAAUCUUUGGUAUUGCUGACAACCCGGACUUCGAUCAAUCUGAGAUGAUGCAAAGACAAUGUUAGUAGUUGCCUGAAGUUCCCCUACCCACCCUCUUUGUCGUGGUCUGAGAUUUUACUAAUCUGUGUUGUCGCCAUGUGGCGAUGUUAGUGGCCACCGUUUUCGAUUGUGGCCACUUUGGAGGUAGAUGGCCACAGUUCCUAGAUCUAGAGUUUUUCCUUAGCUUUUAAUUUAUUGAAUUUCUAAUUUUAUAAUUUAAUUCAAUAUUAUAUUAUUUUUUAAUCUUACCCAAAUUGUACCUAACACUCGAUAGCAUUAGAUAUAUAUAUCCACCUUCACUAUCUAAAAGAUUUGAUAUCUCACUUUAUCCUAUUUUAUCUCAAUUAUUAUCCCAACAGCUAAAAGUAGCUCCUAGCUUUCGUCGAUCAAAGAUAAGAAUUUUGGCAAUCUCCAUAGGAGACAAAGUCUUUUCUCUAACUCUCACUCUCUCUCUCUCUAUUCUCUACUUUCAAGUGUCUUUAUAAUUUAUGGUCGGUGGCAAUGAAUGAUUUAAGCCUGCAUUGUCUUUAACUAUCUUUGCGGCCAACUAUCCUCAAUCCCCUCCCUCCGAUCUUUAUUUAUUUAUUUAUUUAUUUUUUGUCUAUGUUGAUGUUUUUAUAAGUAACGGAAACACAAAAUUUAGGGAAAGAAGUUGCAGAAAGUAGAAAUGUAGAUUUCAAAGAUGUAAAAUGGCUUUCUAAUCUGGGAUUGGAUUUUCUUGAUUGACUAUACCGUUCUAGACAAUGAUUUAUUCGAAAAAUAAAAUUCUAUUAUUGCAAUCGAUCGCAGUGAAUAAUGCUGGCUGUGCUAAUGUCGACUUGAAGAACCCUAUCUUUCAUCAAAAGCGGAAUUUGGAGCUUUUUUUUCGGUCACUUUGGCCAUUUAUUUUGACUCAAUUGCAAGUAAGUGACCUGUGCUAUUGUGUCAAAUUAGAAGAUUUGAGGCAAAAUGCCCCUAUCCAUGGCACGGAUAAUGGCACAUGACACGCACAUGUUGUCUGCUGGUCAUGACUUCUUUAAAACAAGCAUCACUACAAGGGUUCUUUUACAAAAAUCAACCUCCCUUUAGGAGCCUUUUUGAAUUUUUUUUUUUCCAUUUAAGCAAGUACCAUGGUGAGUGUCUUCCCCUAAGGUAUGAAAUCAUGCAAAUCUAAUGUGCAAAAAGAUAGAUGCGAUGCCCGGCAGAAGAUCAUCAAAUUUCAACUGUGGCACUACCUUACUGUCAUCUCAUUUUGGCUAUGAUCAGAGCACAAGCGGCAGUUCAAUUGGAAGCCGAGAGGAGCGGGUUGUGUGGGUGGAAUUCGAGGUUGUCUAAGCAAAGCAGGAAACGUUUUCAAUAUUUUAUCAGAACGUGGGGAGAGAGAGAGAGAGAAUGAAAAGGCUCUAGUAUUGCUUGGGGAGCAAGGGAUGUGAAGAUUAGCUGGCCUUAGUUUCUUUCUUUUGCUAAUAAGAUGAAAAGUCAGACUCGUCUACUAGUCAAACGCAGAGCAGCUUCUGCACUCGUCAGAGUCCGGUAGUUGGUGGGAGCAAUCUGAUUUUCAGAUUUUCGGGUUACCCGAUGGGGGUUGUUGCUCCAUUCUAAUCUGACCCAAUAAAAAAAUUCUAAAGAGACAUGCUAUCCUAGUCGUCAUUACCCCACUUCAAACGACUCCAUGUGCACUAGUCAUAGACCGAUUUGCACGGCUCCAGCAUCCCCAUGUAAAUAAAUAACACCAACCAUCCUCUUCAAGGUGAGGGCUGAGUCAUAAGCGCAAUCAUCUUCCGCGUCUCAACAAACACGACCCUCGCAAUGACUCCUCCUCCUCGAUCCGUCCGAUUCAUCUCCGACUGCUUCGUCAAACCUCCCCAACUUCCUGAUGGCUGGAACCGUCCUCUUCACUUGCCGCCGUGGGACCUCGCCAUGCUCUCCGCCCACUACAUCCAAAAGGGCCUCCUCUUCCCCCUCCCUCCUCGCUGCCUCGACCCUGGCUUCGACCGCCCCGCUUUCAUCCGUU
Molecule: long non-coding RNA, 22092 nt
Filed under: Eucalyptus grandis
Lineage: Eukaryota; Viridiplantae; Streptophyta; Magnoliopsida; Myrtales; Myrtaceae
Description: long non-coding RNA (EGRA_LNC003452)
Source: RNAcentral